This is a long non-coding RNA of Gavialis gangeticus (Gharial), 4043 nucleotides long. RefSeq lists it as uncharacterized. The transcript has 2 exons. NCBI's taxonomy places the organism in Eukaryota, Metazoa, Chordata, Crocodylia, Gavialidae. The record is from RefSeq and is a predicted model, not a curated record.
UGUCAACUCUCUAAUUCUAUUUGACACUUAGUGAUAAAUAUGUCAUAGCUUCUCAUAAACAGAUGCCCAAAGUAAACACUGAAAAAUAGCAAGAAUUUCUUUGCUAACUUCUGUUGUAGAAUAUCCUGAGGCAUUACUUGUAGUUAAAGCAUAUACCUCUUCAAGCUGUCUGUAUCUCUAGAAAUGGACUUUGAGGUUCUCUAAAAUAUUGAGAGAGCAUACUGUAAUGACCCUGAAUUUUAACUUAGAGGAUUGUCUUGUUGAUGUCAUACAUUUUCCCCCCUUUAACCAAGACAGCAGCCUCACCCUUCUCUCCACUUUCUAUUCUGUCCAUCACUGUAAACGCACAGUGGACGUAAGUGCUAAAAAAUAUAUUUCCUCUCCUGCUUUGCAUUGUUUACUGUGGUUUGCGCUAAUGUUCGGUGAAUAUAUCACUUUGAGCUUGUUCUGAAGCUUCAUAACCUGUGACUUUACCAUCCCCUCCCAUCAAAAUUUCACAAAUGAAACUCUUGCUUGAAUAUAUAUAAUGAAAAAAGAGUCCAGUCACAUCACAGUUCCAGAUCCAGUGUAUGCACGAGCCAGUCCUUCAAAUCCUUUGAAUAGUUUAGCUUUUACAAUACCCAAACUUAUUGCAUUUUUCAAUAACUGGGGACUUUGUAAAACUCUGUGUCAUUUGUAUGUAACAUGUGCCCGUGCUGAGCAAGAUAUGCUACUUUCAAGUUUGUAGAUGGAAAAUUGGGUGCUUUUUGAAUCAGAAAUCACCAAAACAUUUCAAUAAUUUACAAGGUAGAAGGAAAUUUUAUGUGCUGACAACCAUAGCCAGUUCUUUAAAUUGUUCUGUUUGCAUAAUUCAGAGUCCAGCACUGCUGUGAAAUAGAAUUGCUGGAAAAGAAUCCCAAAUGUUGGCAAUGUAAAUGAAUACACUAACUACCCAUCUUGGCUGCUAGAAUUCCCAAAGUCAUUACUACUGCACCACUUGAAAAAUCAGAGGAUGGUCCUUCCAAACUAGGUUUCUGUCCAUGGACACACAUUUCUCAGCAUGGAAGAGAAAGCUGGCUUUGAGUAGAUAAAUGAGGCAUGCAGUCCAGCCAGAUUUCUGCAGUAAUCUUUCCAAGUGAGGAUGGUAUAAGGUCUCAUCCUGUGCAUGCACUAGACAAGCUAAUAGACAUGCUGAGACAAUUAACUAAAUAUGGGUGCAUGAUUUAUAGAAGCUGUUUUUGCGAUAGAGCCAAUGCUGAUUUUUUUUAAAGGAUUAUGUAGCACUAUUGAAGUGUUUCCCCUGCUCCUGCUUGUUUAGUUCUCCAUAUGAAAUAUGUCCAGGCAGCUCUCUGAGAUGGUGUGGGGGGGGAUCAUUAGAACAGAUAAAAGAACAUCUGAUAGAAGUAUGCUUGACAGGAGAGUUGUCCAAGAAUGUUACACGUUCUGGAGUAGACAUAAGGGAGAAUUGUAAAUUGCCUUUAAAUGAAAGGAAGUAGCAGCUGGGAGAUAAGACCCAAGAUAGUAAAGAUGUUUAUCAAAGCUACCAGAAAGGGAGCUAUGGCUUUUCUGGACCAUAUUAUCUGUAGUUUAUCAAUGGUAUUUUAUCACUAGGAGCCCACAGGGGGAGUGUUUGUGUUGCUAGCAUGGAAAGGGCUUUUUCUGCCACUUCUGGCCAUGAAAGAUUAAUGUCAGUCUAGUCACUUCUCUAGUAUUUAAAUAGAUAUUCAGUUCUGGCCUCUUAUUCAUCUCUUUCUGCACAAUACAGUUUCCUGUCAUUUAUGACUUCCUGAUUUGGUGCACCGAGCUGUUAGCUGAGGCCAUUACUCACAUUGCCUCUGAAAGUGAAAGGCAAAGCAGGUCUUGGGUAUAGCAAAGCAGUACCAGGAGUGCUGAGAGGAAGGUCUCCAACACACAGAAGGGACAAUCGUACACAGGCUCAUAUGAGGGGCUGGCGAAACACCACCAUGCCCACAGGGAAACCUAAUUCUGCCUUGCUCAUGUACGGUUGUGCGUGCAAUAACUUUUCAGUCCAUAUGUUACAGAAUGCUGCAAUUACCUUUACAGAAAGGUAUAUACGAAGGCAUGCUGUAAUGCUGCUAAAGACAAACUGACAUAUAACCUGAUUCCUUUUAUCCAAGGCAGGAAAAAAAUCCAGCUCGCUUUAUGACUGAAGGGAUGCUGUGAUCCUGAAGAUUUAUUUGAAGUAUUUUUGGAGGAUGGCAAUGAGACUGAGGGUUAUUGUAGAAAGCUAGAGGUAUCUGAAUGUAGUCCAUCCCUUAUUCAUUAUCUUGACCAAUGACAGAGCUCCAGUGAGUCUCACUACUUCUAAGGCAAAAGAUUUGGGAUAUUAAAAUGAGAUUAUGAGAGAUGCACAACUUCUAGUCAUGCUGGCAUUAUUUUGAAAGUGUUUUAUUCUCCUGGUAGGUAAUUUGAAGGGGGUGCAGCAAUGUUCCACUUGACAAACUGCUGAUCGAAUCCCCCUCCCCAGGCUACUGCCAUCCUGUGCUGCAGUGCAAUGCUUGACAAAAAGAUGCAGCUGUACCAUGCAACCUAUAGGACCUGAAAAAGUGUCAGCCCUUAUAAACACCCUCACACUACCAAAUUGGCCAAGAUGAGUCUCAAUCUCUGGUAUUUUUACUUUCUAGAUUGUGUCAAUUAAGUGAAUGGCAAGCAAACAAAUAUCUGAUAGUCAAAGCCAUUCUCUUAAACUUAUUAUUUCUCACUGACCAUGCAGGGAUGCCUAUUUUAGAUCAAACAGAGCUAAAAGAUAAGCUUCAGGCUUGACUGUUUUCUUUCUCUCUCACAUCCAUUUUCCACUGUUGUAGUUCCACUAACUUCAGAGGAUUACACUGAUACAUGGGGGAAAAAUCAGGGCCUCAGUGUUCAAUAGCAAUUCUCACAGAGUUAUUUUAAGAGUCUGCAGUAGGAUACAUCAAACUGUACAUGCCAGAUAGCAGAUGAUACUUUGUGUUUUGCAAAUGAAUUUGCUUAUCCUGUUACCUUCCUACAAGAUUACUUUUGUGACAUGUAGUUGGGCACCCAUGCAGAAAGUUAUCACAUUGGAGUAGAAUUGACCUACAUAACCGAAGUACAAAUACUAGUGGUUGUAAUCUUUGUGUCUUGUCAAGAGAAUCUGUCUCUGGUUGCUAUAAUUUUGUAGUCCACUAUAAUGGUAGCAAAGUUUCUGUAUGACAGCCAGGGAAAUGCACAUAUUCCUUGCUUAUACAGAAACACCCUUGGGCAAACAAAAUUACAUAUUGUAUUUGCUAGAAAUGGUUUGAUUCUUACUGGCAAGAUUAUACAAAAUUAGGCAGUUUUGCAGUUAUAUUUUGAAUUUUCUGUGUAAACUGCAACAAUUGAGAAGUAGGUGGGAGAUUACCUUAUAUCUAUUGCAUAAGACAGAGGAAUCACAAAAAAACUUCCUAAGGCAAGUACUCCUCCAUCAAGACAAAGGCAUUAAUGUGCUAUACUAGAAAUUUGAAUUAAACUGUGCAUGUUUAUCAAUUCACAUUGACUGUUUUUGUAGAGUGGAGCUGCUCACCUGUGGAGUGCCUGCCAGAUAGAUUUCAACCAACGAGCUCUUUCAAGUGGGUGAUUCUACUUUAGAGCCUAUAAGAAUAUUUCUAGACCACUUUUUAUGGAACAUCUGGGUAUCUUUGUUCCACUAUUUCUUCUAAUUAAACUAUAAGUACCAAAAGGUCUUUUACAAGCAGGAUUUAUUGUAAUGUAAUUUGGUCUUACAAAGAUAUCAUUUGCCUUUCCAAAUGGCUUUCAAGUUACAACUCAUUUAUGUAGCUAACUUUUUCAUAACUGCAGGUCCAAAAUAGUUGCCUAGAAAAAAGCGUGGAAGCAACAAUGAAGAAAUACUGCAGUUUCACAGUGUAUCUUGAAGAUGUAGAUCAGGAGAAAAAUAAAAAAGAAACAAAGAUCCAGAGCAUACAGGAGGCAUUUCAGAAGUUCAGAAGAAAACGCCAGAUGGUCUCCUUCAUCUACAAUGCAAUUUCAGUAAGGAAAUUUAUUUCUGAUUGAGAGCGAGAGUCAUAAAUAGAAACCUAUUAUCUGCA